UGGGUCACAUGAUCAUACAAUCACUUCUGGAAUCAGCAUGAGCAUAUUUAAAAAUAUAUAUAUGUAAAUUUAACCUUUAUUUAACAAGGCAAGUCCGUUAAGAACAAAUUCUUAUUUACAAUAACGGCCUGGAUAGCAUUCCUCCAAUAGAAGUAAGGAACAUGUAGCUUAAUAAGAACCUGGCGUUGUAGCUAAGGGUCUGGCGUUGUAGCUAAGGGUCUGGCGUUGUAGCUAAGGGUCUGGCGUUGUAGCUAAGGGUCUGGCGUUGUAGCUAAGGGUCUGGCGUUGUAGCUAAGGGUCUGGCGUUGUAGCUAAGGGUCUGGCGUUGUAGCUAGGGGUCUGGCGUUGUAGCUAAGGGUCUGGCGUUGUAGCUAAGGGUCUGGCGUUGUAGCUAAGGGUCUGGCGUUGUAGCUAAGGGUCUGGCGUUGUAGCUAAGGGUCUGGCGUUGUAGCUAAGGGUCUGGCGUUGUAGCUAAGGGUCUGGCGUUGUAGCUAGGGGUCUGGCGUUGUAGCUAAGGGUCUGGCGUUGUAGCUAGGGGUCUGGCGUUGUAGCUAAGGGUCUGGCGUUGUAGCUAAGGGUCUGGCGUUGUAGCUAAGGGUCUGGCGUUGUAGCUAGGGGUCUGGCGUUGUAGCUAGGGGUCUGGCGUUGUAGCUAGGGGUCUGGCGUUGUAGCUAAGGGUCUGGCGGUUAGGUCUGGCGGUUAUCGCUAGGGGUCUGGCGGUUAGGUCUGGCGGUUAUAGAUAUACUGAUUAAUAGAAGGCAAGUUAAAAUUCCUGAAAGUCUGUUGUAGACAGUGUAGGAUACCAUAAUUUUCUAUUUCACUUCUCCCUCUUUUUCAGAAGGUAAAGGGCAACAGGGAAUUGCUGGAUUUAAUGCGAAGGCUGAUUCCCACAGUCUUGGCAAGAUAGACUUGCUGGCAUCUCCUUUGGUCCAACCAGCAGACACUCUCAAGGAGACCAGAGUCUAAUCUUAUUUACUACUUAAUUAAGAUUGAAUUUAUUUUAC
This is a long non-coding RNA of Oncorhynchus keta (chum salmon), 1004 nucleotides long. RefSeq lists it as uncharacterized. NCBI's taxonomy places the organism in Eukaryota, Metazoa, Chordata, Actinopteri, Salmoniformes, Salmonidae. The transcript is spliced from 2 exons. The record is from RefSeq and is a predicted model, not a curated record.